CCCAACUAUCCCUAUUAAUCAUUACGACCGUUCCAGAAACCAACAAAAUAGAACUGUCGUCCUAUUUCAUUAUUCCAUGCUAAUGUAUUCAAGCGUAAGAGCCCGCUUUGAGCACUCUAAUUUUUUCAAGGUAAAGGUCCUGGUUCCCGACGACACCUAAUGAAAGGCAUCCCCGCUCGCCAGAAGGUGAGACCCGCGACGAGGCAGUGCUCGCCCAGAGGACGGACCGCCCGCACGGGCCUAAGGUUCAACUACGAGCUUUUUAACUGCAACAACUUUAAUAUACGCUAUUGGAGCUGGAAUUACCGCGGCUGCUGGCACCAGACUUGCCCUCCAA
RNAcentral lists this unclassified non-coding RNA (337 nucleotides) under uncultured Paraglomeraceae. RNAcentral describes it as "sequence contains 18S rRNA gene". Lineage: Eukaryota; Fungi; Glomeromycota; Glomeromycetes; Paraglomerales. The record is from RNAcentral.